Papaver somniferum (opium poppy) is the source of this 107-nucleotide small nucleolar RNA. RefSeq annotates it as small nucleolar RNA snoR97. NCBI's taxonomy places the organism in Eukaryota, Viridiplantae, Streptophyta, Magnoliopsida, Ranunculales, Papaveraceae. The record is from RefSeq and is a predicted model, not a curated record. The transcript has a single exon.
GAUAACUGGUUGACAUGUAGACUGAAAAAACUCAUAAAGUGUGUGUUGUCUAUCAGCUUCUUCUUUCGAAAUUCACGAGAUCGCAGUUAAACUACAACACUAUAUUG